AUUUAUCGGUAGGUGAGGUUACCAUAAGGAUACGGGUUGCUGCCGCAAAAUAGUGGAGACACUAAUAGUUGGUUAGCAGAAUACGUCGAUUCAAGGCGUAUUUUAAUGCAAUUACAAGCCUUAUAGAGCUAAAACUUGAACGAAGUA
This 147-nucleotide small RNA is filed under the name fish gut metagenome. Its description in RNAcentral is "M-box riboswitch (ykoK leader)". It matches the Rfam family "M-box riboswitch aptamer (ykoK leader)". From Rfam's summary of the family: M-box riboswitch, also know as ykoK leader is described as a metaloregulatory RNA that sense divalent metals and function as a genetic control element of genes related to divalent metal transport in bacteria. The record is from RNAcentral.